Non-coding RNA from Triticum aestivum (bread wheat), 115 nucleotides. The record is from Rfam. NCBI's taxonomy places the organism in Eukaryota, Viridiplantae, Streptophyta, Magnoliopsida, Poales, Poaceae.
CUUGUUCUCCCUCCAUCCGAAAUUACUUGUCAUUAAAAUGGAUGUAUCUAGAUGUAUUUUAGUUCUAGACACAUCCAUUUUGAUGACAAGUAAUUCCGGACGGAGGGAGUACUUG